This 497-nucleotide ribosomal RNA is filed under the name uncultured bacterium. RNAcentral describes it as "partial 16S ribosomal RNA". It matches the Rfam family "Bacterial small subunit ribosomal RNA", at positions 28 to 507 of the family's 1533-position model. The record is from RNAcentral.
GAUGAACGCUGGCGGCGUGCCUAAUACAUGCAAGUCGAGCGAACAGACGAGGAGCUUGCUCCUCUGACGUUAGCGGCGGACGGGUGAGUAACACGUGGAUAACCUACCUAUAAGACUGGGAUAACUUCGGGAAACCGGAGCUAAUACCGGAUAAUAAAUUGAACCGCAUGGUUCAAUAGUGAAAGACGGUUUUGCUUUCACUUAUAGAUGGAUCCGCGCCGCAUUAGCUAGUUGGUAAGGUAACGGCUUACCAAGGCGACGAUGCGUAGCCGACCUGAGAGGGUGAUCGGCCACACUGGAACUGAGACACGGUCCAGACUCCUACGGGAGGCAGCAGUAGGGAAUCUUCCGCAAUGGGCGAAAGCCUGACGGAGCAACGCCGCGUGAGUGAUGAAGGUCUUCGGAUCGUAAAACUCUGUUAUUAGGGAAGAACAAAUGUGUAAGUAACUAUGCACGUCUUGACGGUACCUAAUCAGAAAGCCACGGCUAACUACGUG